AAAUACCUAAACGAAACCUAAUGAAACAAAAAAAAUGGAGAAGAGAAACAGCUGCGCCUUAAGAGAAGAGAAAGAGAAGAGAAGAAAAAGAGAAGAGAGUUGAGGGAGAAGACACAGAUUCAAGAUGGGUUUUGUGAGUGUGAUUCCCGCUGUUUCAGAGAGAGUUAAACCGUGAUCAAGGUGUUUCUGGAAAGAUCUCAAUGCAAUGAAGCCAUAGGAGAAAACGGCAUCGUCAUCGGAGUUAAGGUCAGGCCACAACGAAGCUUUCUUUCUGCGCAAGUAUCAUCUGCAUCAUCUUGUAACUCAGAAAUCUGCUUCGACGCAGCAACUUCAAAGGACUGAGGACGACUUAUUUGAAGUCCGAUCGACCUGAAAAUUGAAUCCAAUCCGCGAGCAGCUAACUUGUGAUGCGUUUUUCCGGCGAUCUAGGAAUAUCCAGAAGACGAUCUAUAUACCGGCGUGAAGAUUUUCGACCCAGCUUUCCAGAUCAAUCUUCAGAUAUCAAUUCCGAGCUGUGAACAGAAAGUUAUGACCAUUUUUCUGUCAUAUAUCAAAUCUAUCCGAAUGUGAACUGAGUUUGCUAAUCUUCUUCAAAUGGCAAAGUGAAAGACUGAAUAUUGUGAAGCUGUAGUGAUCGAGAAAAAGCUGACGAGCCAUAGUCAAGCCCUGUUGAGGUGGUGGCACCGGUAACUUGUCAAGCCGAGAACGAUAGUGGCAGAGAAUGAAUACCAUUGACG
Long non-coding RNA from Eutrema salsugineum, 737 nucleotides. RefSeq lists it as uncharacterized. The record is from RefSeq and is a predicted model, not a curated record. Lineage: Eukaryota; Viridiplantae; Streptophyta; Magnoliopsida; Brassicales; Brassicaceae. The transcript is spliced from 3 exons.